This 73-nucleotide transfer RNA is filed under the name Stegodyphus mimosarum. It matches the Rfam family "tRNA". From Rfam's summary of the family: Transfer RNA (tRNA) molecules are approximately 80 nucleotides in length. Their secondary structure includes four short double-helical elements and three loops (D, anti-codon, and T loops). The record is from Rfam by way of RNAcentral. Lineage: Eukaryota; Metazoa; Arthropoda; Arachnida; Araneae; Eresidae.
GCCUUCGUGGUGUAGUGGUCAGCACGCUCGACGUGUAACUGUCAGGUCCAUGGUUCGAUUCCCGGCGAGGGCA